This 253-nucleotide ribosomal RNA is filed under the name uncultured bacterium. RNAcentral's name for it is "partial 16S ribosomal RNA". It matches the Rfam family "Bacterial small subunit ribosomal RNA", at positions 524 to 776 of the family's 1533-position model. The record is from RNAcentral.
UACGGAGGGUGCAAGCGUUAUCCGGAUUCACUGGGUUUAAAGGGUGCGUAGGUGGGCAGGUAAGUCAGUGGUGAAAUCUCCGAGCUUAACUCGGAAACUGCCGUUGAUACUAUUUGUCUUGAAUAUUGUGGAGGUAAGCGGAAUAUGUCAUGUAGCGGUGAAAUGCUUAGAUAUGACAUAGAACACCAACUGCGAAGGCAGCUUACUACACAACGAUUGACGCUGAGGCACGAAAGCGUGGGGAUCAAACAGG